AUGAUUUUAAAGUUUUAUUCAGAAGUCUGAAAUCGUUAUUAUUGUGAUUUUAUAUUUUGUCCUUAAACGAGUGCGAAUCAUGCUAAUUGAAAUACAUUUUCACUUUGGUUGACUUUCGAAAGGGAUUUUGACGCAGAUAACGUAUGAUUAAACAAGAAAGAAACGACGUUAAAAUAUAGUAAAUAUGCGGCACCCUUCUUGCACGAAACAAAAUCUAAGUACCCC
Molecule: long non-coding RNA, 225 nt
Filed under: Mytilus galloprovincialis (Mediterranean mussel)
Lineage: Eukaryota; Metazoa; Mollusca; Bivalvia; Mytilida; Mytilidae
Source: RNAcentral